CCCUACUGAGCCUUCCGCAGCGACUUGAAAAAGAAAUGCGUAGCCUGCUCUUGCAGACCACACCACGAAAAUGCUAGGACUCACAUUGAUUUGGAGUAUCAGCAGCCUGGAACUGGAUUCCAGGUCCACAGAUCAUGUAGUGGUGGUCGUGUGACUAUGAUUGAGAUAUGACCGGUCUUAACUAGAAUUAGUUAAAGAUACACGUUCCGUAGGUGAACCUGCGGAAGGAUCAUUAU
This 236-nucleotide ribosomal RNA is filed under the name ascomycete sp. CH-Tc14. RNAcentral's name for it is "partial 18S ribosomal RNA". Lineage: Eukaryota; Fungi; Ascomycota. The record is from RNAcentral.